Long non-coding RNA from Gymnogyps californianus (California condor), 685 nucleotides. RefSeq lists it as uncharacterized. The transcript is spliced from 3 exons. NCBI's taxonomy places the organism in Eukaryota, Metazoa, Chordata, Aves, Accipitriformes, Cathartidae. The record is from RefSeq and is a predicted model, not a curated record.
GGAAGGUGUUGCUUUAGGUACUGCUUCUGUGGCUACAAGGUGCGAGGGGCAGCAAGUGCCUCUCCAAAGGAUGCGAGAGGUGACUGAUCUGUAAUCUCGCUUUGCCAGUAGUAUUCACAGAUUAAAUCAAAAUGCAGUCUGGCAAAAGGAUUCACUUGAGAAGCUCUGGUGUAUUUUGACUCACUCUACUGGUGGUGUGGAAAGGUGAUGCUUUACAGAACUUCAUUUGAAGAGGAACUGUCACUCACAGUGGCUGUACCUGUGCUGCGGCUUGGACCCAGCUGAGCUGGGAGCUUACCAAGCGACUCAGAAGAAGAAAGGACUUGGCUCCAAGCACUUGAGGUUUUGCUCAAACUUCUGAGCUCUCCAGUAUGAGAGAGCUCACAGGGCAGGAAUCAAGCUGUAAUUGUCUCCGAGGACCAUAAUAAACCUGAUUUUUCUCAGCUAGGUUUGGUGGUGGUCAAACAGCUGUCUAGAGUCUGGGAAGAAUUGCUUGGAUUGGUACUUCUCUAAGUGGGAUUUGGUGGGGCUGUGUGAUGUGGCUCGGGGUAGUUGCUUGUGGACAGCUAGAAAGCCUGCUGCCAAGUUAUUUGAGGAAAGUGCAAGCUAUCUGUGUAUCUGCUGUACUGCUGUGGUUUUCCAAAAUUAAGGCUGUGUUCCCUUUCCCCUACUUAAGAUUUUCUUG